GCUUAACACAUGCAAGUCGAACGGUGAAGUCGGAGCUUGNNCCGGAUCAGUGGCGAACGGGUGAGUAACACGUGAGUAACCUGCCCCCGACUCUGGGAUAACUGCUAGAAAUGGUAGCUAAUACCGGAUAUGACGACUGGCCGCAUGGUCUGGUCGUGGAAAGAAUUUCGGUUGGGGAUGGACUCGCGGCCUAUCAGGUUGUUGGUGAGGUAACGGCUCACCAAGCCUACGACGGGUAGCCGGCCUGAGAGGGUGACCGGCCACACUGGGACUGAGACACGGCCCAGACUCCUACGGGAGGCAGCAGUGGGGAAUAUUGCACAAUGGGCGAAAGCCUGAUGCAGCAACGCCGCGUGAGGGAUGACGGCCUUCGGGUUGUAAACCUCUUUUAGUAGGGAAGAAGCGAAAGUGACGGUACCUGCAGAAAAAGCACCGGCUAACUACGUGCCAGCAGCCGCGGUAAUACGUAGGGUGCAAGCGUUGUCCGGAAUUAUUGGGCGUAAAGAGCUCGUAGGCGGUUUGUCGCGUCUGCUGUGAAANUCCGAGGCUCAACCUCGGGUCUGCAGUGGGUACGGGCAGACUAGAGUGCGG
Molecule: ribosomal RNA, 591 nt
Filed under: uncultured bacterium
Lineage: Bacteria
Description: bacterial SSU rRNA
Rfam family: Bacterial small subunit ribosomal RNA
Source: RNAcentral